This 215-nucleotide long non-coding RNA is filed under the name Glycine max (soybean). Its description in RNAcentral is "long non-coding RNA (GMAX_LNC002405)". The record is from RNAcentral. Lineage: Eukaryota; Viridiplantae; Streptophyta; Magnoliopsida; Fabales; Fabaceae.
UGGGGUUGUUGGAGGAAAGCAGAAACACAUUUCCCACUUGCACGUGCUGAGUCUCCACUGUCCUAUCUUGGACAUUUGUCUUAUAUCCAUUACUGAAGCUGCAUGGACGUGGGCAUUCUAAUUUCUUACUUUAUUUCUUAUAUGCCCACCUGUGUCAAUAUUUUGUAAUUUCUCUUUAAAAUAUAAUAAUGAUUUUUUAAGCAAUUCAUUUUUUC